UAGGUUUUAGUUAAAAUUAUAACAUUAGUCUGUCAUACUGAAAUUGCUAAAAAUUAUAGCAUUCU
RNAcentral lists this transfer RNA (65 nucleotides) under Staphylinidae sp. BMNH 1274171. RNAcentral's name for it is "tRNA-Asp". The record is from RNAcentral. Lineage: Eukaryota; Metazoa; Arthropoda; Insecta; Coleoptera; Staphylinidae.